Molecule: long non-coding RNA, 358 nt
Organism: Ochotona princeps (American pika)
Lineage: Eukaryota; Metazoa; Chordata; Mammalia; Lagomorpha; Ochotonidae
Exons: 3
Source: RefSeq, a predicted model, not a curated record
GUGGUGUUUUCAUCGCCAGGGGAGGAAGGCCCGGGAAGUGGCGCCGGCACAGCCGGGACCGGGUCGGCUGGCUCCGGGCCGGGCUCGGCGUCGCGGUCGCCGCCCUGGUGCGCUCGUUCGUGCCCCACCCAAAGCCCUGUCAGACACGUUGCCAUGGCAGCAGACCCGCAAGCUUGCUGGGCCCAGAGUGCAGGACCGGAGAAGGCUGGUCGGCUGCCAACCCCUGCCCUGCCUGGGCGUGGCCCCCUUACAUCUCUGGUGGAUUCAGGUUCACGUGGAAGAUGUCAUCCCAGGGCUGCCUCGUCAGGCUUUGAUUUUCCAAGCUUUAGGCUCUGUAGGAGAGGGCACUGCUGACUUG